RNAcentral lists this ribosomal RNA (255 nucleotides) under uncultured bacterium. RNAcentral's name for it is "partial 16S ribosomal RNA". It matches the Rfam family "Bacterial small subunit ribosomal RNA", at positions 524 to 777 of the family's 1533-position model. The record is from RNAcentral.
UACGGGGGGGGGCAAGCGUUGUUCGGAAUUACUGGGCGUAAAGGGCUCGUAGGUGGCCAACUAAGUCAGACGUGAAAUCCCUCGGCUUAACCGGGGAACUGCGUCUGAUACUGGAUGGCUUGAGUUUGGGAGAGGGAUGCGGAAUUCCAGGUGUAGCGGUGAAAUGCGUAGAUAUCUGGAGGAACACCGGUGGCGAAGGCGGAUCUCUGGGCCUUACCUGACGCUGAGGAGCGAAAGCAUGGGGAGCAAACAGGG